CUCUGUGACUCCUACGGGGAGGCAGCAGUGAGGAAUAUUGGUCAAUGGACGCAAGUCUGAACCAGCCAUGUCGCGUGCAGGAAGACUGCCCUAUGGGUUGUAAACUGCUUUAUACGGGAAGAAAUAUAGCUACGUGUAGUUAUUUGCCGGUACCGUAUGAAUAAGCAUCGGCUAACUCCGUGCCAGCAGCCGCGGUAAUACGGAGGAUGCGAGCGUUAUCCGGAUUCAUUGGGUUUAAAGGGUGCGUAGGCGGAAGUAUAAGUCAGGGGUGAAAGUUUGUGGCUCAACCAUAAAAUUGCCUUUGAUACUGUAUUUCUUGAGUACAUUUGAGGUAGGCGGAAUGUGUUGUGUAGCGGUGAAAUGCUUAGAUAUAACACAGAACACCGAUUGCGAAGGCAGCUUACUAAACUGUAACUGACGCUGAUGCACGAAAGCGUGGGGAUCGAACAGGAUUAGAUACCCUGGUAG
Molecule: ribosomal RNA, 468 nt
Filed under: uncultured bacterium
Lineage: Bacteria
Description: bacterial SSU rRNA
Rfam family: Bacterial small subunit ribosomal RNA
Source: RNAcentral